Long non-coding RNA from Lampris incognitus (smalleye Pacific opah), 315 nucleotides. RefSeq lists it as uncharacterized. The transcript is spliced from 7 exons. Lineage: Eukaryota; Metazoa; Chordata; Actinopteri; Lampriformes; Lampridae. The record is from RefSeq and is a predicted model, not a curated record.
GAACGGGCUUCAGACUGCAGACAGCAACUCAGAAAUCAAAGCACAACUCUGAACUCGUGACUGUGAAGACCAGUUGACCGGCCAACAUGCUCUCACGAUUCCUGCUGGUCCUUUGUGCUCUAGCAACUGUGUGUCUGUCAGCUCCUAUCAUUGAGUCUCGGGGAUCACACAGUGAUGACAGAACUGGGCCUUUACUAGACUACCUUAAUGAUUCCUCAACUGAUAAACCAGGUGGAGACAGUCUGGAGACCACCAGCGGACCUGAUUCAGCAGGUGGAGACAGUCUGGAGACCACCAGCGGACCUGAUUCAGCAG